Myodes glareolus (Bank vole) is the source of this 1064-nucleotide long non-coding RNA. RefSeq lists it as uncharacterized. The record is from RefSeq and is a predicted model, not a curated record. Lineage: Eukaryota; Metazoa; Chordata; Mammalia; Rodentia; Cricetidae.
CUGGCCUUGAACUCUGUGAAAUCCUGCCUUAACUUCCUUGCGCCUGGUUAGCCGUGUGUACCUCCAGGCCCAGCCCCAACUUUGGCUCUGCACUCACUGUCUUCCCUUUGUUUUGUUUUUGGGUGUUAGUUUAUUUGUGUGAGACAGGGGCUAGCUGUGUAACCCACAGUUGACCUUGAAUUUAUGAUUCUCCAGUUUCUGACUCCCGAGUGUCAGGGUUCCAGGGCUGUGCCACAUCUCCCACUAUGUUUAGGUUCUGGUCCAUUUUGAGUUUGUUUUGUUUCUGUCAGAUGCUGUGGAAGAGCAUGUGUUUAUCAGCCUGUGUGUCCUUUGCUGCUCCCUCUGUCCAUAACCUUCUGUGCUGACUUGUACUUGAACCUUUGUGAACACUGGGUUGUACUUUGUCACUUCAUCUCUGUCGCCACGGUGGCAGAUUUCCACAAGCUUGGUGGCCUAAGAAACGGGCCUCCUUUCUCUGCUAGUUUCAGAGCCAGGACUGUGAAGGCUGCCCAGGCUCCUGGCGGGAAUGCCGCCCUCUUUCACGGCGCCCCUAUAGUUGAUCAGAGUCCGCCUUUGAGCAGCUGAGCAGAGCCUACCUAGGCCUUGCUCCACGACAGGCGUGCAUUUCAUGAAGACAGAACCAGCGUGGCUUGAAGUCAUAUGACCAGCCUGGGGAUGAGCGCGCAGAGGGGAAGGCACCAUCAGUCCUGCUGGAAAGACGUGGCACAUCACGGACAGCUGCAAGAGGUGGAAGUGAGUAUCACAUGGCGGUGAACAACAGGAGUGAACAUUAUCCCGAGGUAACCCUAUCUCCCGGGUCAUUACCAGUAACUCUCAACAUGAUCUCAAGGUUACCUUGGACUCUGGCCAGCACCCUGGGAGAGCCGACCUAGCUGAAGGCCAGUGACCUGGAAGGCCAAAAAUAAGCUAGCCAUGAGCUCCACUGGGGAGAGGGAAUAAACAAGCAAAAGAAACCAGAGGCCUGGGAGUUGUGAUACAGUGGCCUGCGUGGUGCACCCACUAGCUCGGGGACGCUAGACGAAUAAAAUUCGGGUGCCCCUUCC